This 85-nucleotide transfer RNA is filed under the name Felis catus (domestic cat). It matches the Rfam family "tRNA". From Rfam's summary of the family: Transfer RNA (tRNA) molecules are approximately 80 nucleotides in length. Their secondary structure includes four short double-helical elements and three loops (D, anti-codon, and T loops). Lineage: Eukaryota; Metazoa; Chordata; Mammalia; Carnivora; Felidae. The record is from Rfam by way of RNAcentral.
GCCUGGGUGGCUCAGUUGGUUAAGCAUCUGACUUCGGCUCAGGUCAUGAUCUCAUGGUUUGUGGGUUCGAGCCCCGCGUCAGGCU